Molecule: long non-coding RNA, 3379 nt
Organism: Cavia porcellus (domestic guinea pig)
Lineage: Eukaryota; Metazoa; Chordata; Mammalia; Rodentia; Caviidae
Exons: 3
Source: RefSeq, a predicted model, not a curated record
AGAGAAAACGCAGAAUUGUGAAAUCAGAAUAUUAGGGUUUCUCUGUUUGCAACAUAUCCCGUGUUUUCUGACUGGAAGCUACACAGAUGUUGGCACUUUAUAUGCCAAUGCAUUCAUCACAAGUAAAAGAAUUUUUCAUCUUGGCAAAAGGGAUUUUACAAAAGAAUUAUGGAACAUCAUGCAUCAUAAAGAAGAGCUGAAAGAUCUGUUGGAGAAGAUGGUCCUCUGGAUCUUCAUUUGGAGAAUGAUAGCAGUUCUAUCAUUAAGAGUAGAAAAUAUGAUAAUGUGGGGCUUCCAGUAGACUGGAGAAGGCAGAAAUCUGUGACAGUCAUCAGGGGACAAUCAUAAGGACCCAGAGGUUGUAGUCCCUCUCUCAAGGAAGUGAUGGACAAGAGUCUUCUUUCUGUGGUCACAACAGGCUGUGAAUUUCAUGCAAUGGAUGAACCAAAUGACUUCAAGGUAGCAGCAGGAAAUGAACACUAAACUUUAUAGAUUCCUUGGAGCUUCAGAUAUGAGUGAGUGCUGAAUCCAUGGGAAUGAAGGAAGGACCCUCUCAGAAGGUCCUGGCAUAAAUCCUGUCAGACUCUCCAAGUUUCCAGGUUCUAAUGACCAUAGUACAUAAAAGUCAGGUGUCUGGAAGGAAGGGAAGGGAAGAGGAGAGAGGAAGCAAUGUGGGCACCUGAGGGGAACACCAGACUGUAAUCCUUAAAGUGGCCUCUGUCUCAAACCUAGAACUCUAUAAUUUCUGCAUCCUAAGAGUGGUUAGGAUUAGGUUGGACUUCUCCUUGGUGAAAAAUUUUGAUUUGAGAUUUUGCAUAUCUUGUCCCCAAUCCCACUUAUCAUAGUGAAAACCAGAGUCAUCCUGUGCCUUGAAUAAUUCUGAGGACCCUCCUCCCUACUUGAUCCCCAGUACAGAAGAUCACUGUCAACAUGUCCUGGUUACAGUGAAGGUGAUGUCAAGAGUUGCAGAGAUCAGGUUGAGGAGCAAGAUCUUCUCCUGGGGGUGUCAAGAAAGAUUCUCAUUAGGGAAAACUUUGAGCACCAACAUAAAUGCAAAGAAGAUCCUAUAAAGGGAGUCAGUAUCUAGCACCAAGACAUGCAUGUGAUGAAAUUCAAGAUCAUCAAAGCUCUGGCCAAGAAAGGUGUAUUCAUUAUCUACUGCUGCAUAAUAAAUUAUUUCAAGACUGAGUGUCUAAAAAAAAAAAAAAAAAGCAUUAUCUCAUGGUUCCACUGGGCCUGGGAUCAGAUUGCAGCUUGGCUGGUCAUGUGACAGAGGGUCUGUCAUAAGCUGUGAUUUAGUAGCCAACAGAUGCUAUAAUCUUUAUGAGGCUUACAGGAUGAAAUUCCAAGAAAUUUGCUGGUUGCUGGCAAGAAUCAAUUCCUCAAAGCAUUGAACUAAAGGCUUCAGUUUUGCAUUGGUGGUUUUGCUAAACUUCCCUCAGCACCUGGAAACAUAGGCUUCUCCAAAAGGCAGCUCACAGUAUGAUCUGCCUUCAUUGCAGCGAGAAAGAAGGGAGCAAACAAGGCCAAAGUCAGCCUUUCAUAAAGCGACCUUGAUGGUACAUUUACCACCUUAGAAGCAAGUAGCUGGGCCCAUUGCACACUGGCGGGAGGAGAUUAGCCAAGGGCAUGGUUGUGCUUUGGAUGUGAUUUGUCCCCUAGGGGUUCACAGACUGAAUGCUUAGUCCACAGUGUGCAGAUAUCACAGGAGAUGGGACCUUAAGAGGCAGGCCUGGAGAAGGUUAUUGGAGCGCUGCCCUCAGAAGAGAUGAAUGGAGGAUUUAUGGGAUUUUAGUUCACAGAAGAGGGAGUUGUUAGAGCUUGCCUCAUGCACUUAACCACUUUUGCAUGUGACCAGUUCCUGUUUCAAUUUUGUACCAUUUGGGACCCAGCCAGUUCUACUUGAUACUUCUAUCCUUUAAAAUUGCAGACCAAAUAAUCCUAUCUUCUUAGCAGAAUAGCAAACCUCAGAUAUUUUGUUACAGAAACCGAUAAUUAGUACACAAACAUGAAUAAAAGAGAGGAAUCAUAAAGCCCAUCUUUGAAGUUUGCCUGUAAUAAUCAUGUAUAAACAGUAAGGAUCUGUCCUUGAGUGGAGAGUGGGCUUGGAAAGAGGAGGGAGGAUGAAGCACCCUUAAGGCAAUGAUCACACAAGGUCCUAAAAAUCAAGCCAGAGAAUUCAGAGAAGAAGCAGAUGUGAGGAUUCAGGGCAGGGAGACAACCUGAACUAGGACAACAACCAUAAGGAUGGAUAUUGGGGCCGUAUGAGAGAUAUUGACAAGAGAAGUAAAGGAACAAUCCUAUAUGUAGCAAAUGUUGGCAUUCUGUAAGACCACAACCCAUUCUGUUUACUAAAAACAAAACAAUUUCAUGAAAGAGGUAGGGAACUGAUCUAGACAUAAGUCAUAGGAAGCAUACACCAGUUCAACAUAUGAACUUUCACUCCUGGAAUGACAUAAAACCUCAUGGCAGGGAAGCAUUCCCAUGCAAUAACCAGGUAACAAUUAUGAGGUAAACCAGGGAUAUCCAGCCUGCUCUGAGUGUGGGAGAAAACUCAGCAGAGCUCUUAACAUUCUGCAAAGGUUGAUCCAACAAAUGAAAACAUGGGGAGAACUGAAGUAUGUCCAGCUCAAAAGGCUGAAAAUUUUUUUGAUAUCCUCACAAAGAUUUGGAAAUGUAAUUUUUUCCUCAAGUAUACUGGGUGCUUCUUCCUCAAGACAGUUGUAGGAUUUUUAAGCCAAUAAUGUGUUUAGAAAUACAGAAGGCAACUUGGAAAGAGUUGUUUUUAAAGAAAUAGGAUUAUGUCCAUUUUCCCAAAGUCUUAGUAUGACCUGCCUUCUGGAUCAAAUCAAAAGAAGAGACCAUUCUGGUUGAGAGGACACAGAAGUCUACAUGUAAGACACAGAGAUUCAGUGAAUAAGACAGGAAAGGUCCGUCCUUAGUUCAAGAGGGAAAACUACACAGGUGAGGUCAGAAGUUAAGAGAGGUGUUAGGGUGUCACUGAGAUAGGAGAGUAGGGUGUGGUUAGGGUGGAGAAGUAGGCAUGAAUCUGUUAACUACAAGAUCCCAGACACAUGCAGAAUGGAUCCUAACCCCUGCAGUGAACUCAGGAGAACUCACUCAGGUUUUCAAUGGGAUGGCCUAGGUUUGAUGUCAGCCUGAGGCAUGGUAUCCCAGCACUGCCCCUCAAAAGUAGAAGUUCUCAUGGGUUUCCUCGAGAUUUUGAUAGUAUUAAAUAAAUGCAGCCAUGAGGAACCAGUGCGGUCAUACCUCUCUGUGAUAGCCCACACCGUGUGACCCAGAUGCAGUGUGUAGUUUUAUCUUUGCUCUCGCUGUUUUUCUCUAUUUACUCACCUCUUUAUUUUUGCUUUCUUGAAUA